RNAcentral lists this long non-coding RNA (1135 nucleotides) under Pan troglodytes (chimpanzee). Its description in RNAcentral is "lncRNA (ENSPTRG00000054331.1)". The record is from RNAcentral. Lineage: Eukaryota; Metazoa; Chordata; Mammalia; Primates; Hominidae.
AAACAACACUUUUCAGUGUAUACGUUUGGGUAUGCUUCUUUAAAAUCAGUAAACUUUGAAUCACUUUAUUUUAUUGAGAUGUCAACAUGUAAUUGAAUGUGCUAGGGAGAACUCACCUGACACUUUUCUAAGUGCUUUCUUUCUGAGUCUCUGUUCAGCUGGCAAUCCCCCACUUUAUUAUGUGAUCUCCCCCCACAUGUUUUUCUGGGCCAGGAGGAGAACAUCACGGUGCAGGGCAAACACAGGGGCUGGGAUUUAUGCAAAGACAGUGGAUAACACCAACCUAUCUCUUCUCUUUCUUGAAAUCUCAUUGUAAAAUACAGAAAAUGGUCUUCUGAGAGAUAGAGACUCACAAUCAUUGUUUUUAAGAAGAAGACAGGAAAGAGCAGCAGUGAGGUUCUGGGGCUAAGCAGAGAGCUUCUCAGUGCUGGGGCACGGCACGUUGCUCAGAUCAGCUUUCCCUGUGAGAGUAACAGAACGCGGAAGGAACUCUAAGAAGCCUAUUUAAAAAUGACUGACUAGCGGAUGUGAUAGAGAGCGAUUAUCAGGGUAGACUAUAAGCCUGUAACACAGAGGGUGUGGCCAAGCACAGCCCAGCUUUUGUCCCAAGGAUGCCAGCUAAACCAAGGAAAGGUGAACUGGAAUUUCAGGAUCUCUUAAAGUUUGGAGACAUGGGAAAGUGGGGGCUUCAACAGGAAGUCCUCCUCUCCUAAAGCCAGGAUCAGAAAAGGCCACACUCUCAGCAGAAGAGUAAAACCCCACCCUGAAACACAGAAUGGAUCCACGUGCUCCAGAUAAAAGGGAAGGUCGAAAAGCUAACAGAGUUCGGAUACAAAACAGAACAAAGACGAAACAAAAAGCUGCAGCCGAACCCUACCUGCUGCUCCAUGUUGAAAUCUGCCUCCUCAAGUCAGGAGCGAGACGAGAAGGAACACCCAAGACUCCGACAUCAGCAUCAGCUGCAGGGGCUCCCGGAAGGACAAGCCUGUCCCUGGAUGCUCAUAAGCAGAGUGGCUACAGUGCAGCAAGGAAACCUUCCAGCAAACACUGCACUUGGCACAGCCGCAGGCCACAUCCCUGCCCACCAGGACCUCUCUGUGAUAAGGGCCAACGAUGUUUCCAUUCCUGUUCAUGA